CUACGGGUGGCAGCAGUGGGGAAUAUUGCAUAAUGGGCGCAAGCCUGAUGCAGCAACGCCGCGUGAACGAAGAAGGUUUUCGGAUCGUAAAGUUCUUUUCUUGGGGAAGAAACCAUGACGGUACCCAAGGAAUAAGCACCGGCUAACUACGUGCCAGCAGCCGCGGUAAUACGUAGGGUGCAAGCGUUAUCCGGAAUCACUGGGCGUAAAGGGUGCGUAGGCGGUUUUGCAAGUCAGAAGUGAAAGGCAAUGGCUCAACCAUUGUAAGCUUUUGAAACUGUAAGACUUGAAUGCAGGAGGGUAAGUGGAAUUCCUAGUGUAGCGGUGAAAUGCGUAGAUAUUAGGAGGAACACCAGUGGCGAAGGCGACUUACUGGACUGUUAUUGACGCUGAGGCACGAAAGCGUGGGGAGCGAACAGGAUUAGAUACCCCAGUAGUC
This 439-nucleotide ribosomal RNA is filed under the name uncultured bacterium. RNAcentral describes it as "partial 16S ribosomal RNA". It matches the Rfam family "Bacterial small subunit ribosomal RNA", at positions 339 to 795 of the family's 1533-position model. The record is from RNAcentral.